Anolis carolinensis (green anole) is the source of this 10718-nucleotide RNA transcript. It is a transcript of the gene named phosphodiesterase 11A, with no coding region annotated. The transcript has 18 exons. The record is from RefSeq and is a predicted model, not a curated record. NCBI's taxonomy places the organism in Eukaryota, Metazoa, Chordata, Lepidosauria, Squamata, Anolidae.
GACCGCCUUUGGGGAAAGAGGAGGAGGCGGCGGCGGAGGAGGAGGCUGCCUUGGCUCGUGCCGCGCUCUGCCUCCGCCUCCUCUCCUCCUCCGCUUCCCCGCCCUCCCGCCUCCUUUUUCUCUCAGUGCUCCGCGGGCAGAGCCAGAGGAAAGGGGCAUUUCUCUCACUCAGGACUGCGGGAAGAGAACCCUGCGCAAUAACACCCACCUGACAUGAAAAAAGGCGGCAUAUACUAUCAAGGCUAGGGAGACGGACGGGCUUUCUUCACGGAGGUGGAGAGAGUCCCAAACUGCUCCUUUCGCUCUUCCUGAAGAAACAGAAACUUCGCUAUUCCCUCGCCCGUCUCCAAGCGAAGGUGGAGAGCCAGGCUCCCACUCGGAUGCAGGGCUCUCCUGAAGAAACUUGGCUUCAGAGAGGAGUGAAGCAUUGCAACGCAGCCGUGGCUUUGCUGCGAGGCAGAGCUUAUCUUUCCCCCCUCGUAGCAAAAUACAAAACAGGGCUCUCUUUUCCUCGCUUUGUGAGGAAAGCAACAUGAGGGAGGAUCGCUUUCGUCGAAAGUUUUGAAGGUUUUGUUUUGGAGGGAAAACGUGGAGAGGGCAAACUCAAAGCAAGUUCCUGCACCGCUUUUUGAGUGUUAGGCGGGAUACUUGUCUGGGUUUUCCUCCCCUUUUGGCGGGAAAAGGUGAGGGAAAGGGCGAUGUCGUCGGCUGCUCCCGACGACUUGGACUCCGAGGCGGUGGAAAACUUCCUGGACAGGCACCCGGAGUUGGUGGAGAAGUGGCUGAAGAAGAAGCAGCAGCAGCGGGAGGCGCUGCCGGGGAGCAAGGCGCCCGAGGGGAGCUCCGGCGCCGUCCCGCUGGCGUGGGCCGAGGAGAGCGGGGCCCUGCACCGGCGCGCCUCGCAGAAGGAGCUGCGGCGGAGCUUCGCGCGCUCCAAGGCCAUCCCCGUGAACCGGACCUACGAGGAGCCCGGCCGCGCGCGGGCCCAGGAGCCGUCCCUCCGGAGCGCGCGCCGCCGGGCCCUCCUGCGCAAGGCCAGCUCGCUCCCGCCCACCACGGCCCACAUCCUCAGCGCCCUGCUCGAGUCGCGCGUCAACCCGCCCGCCUGCCCGCCCACCGCCCUGGACUACAAGCGCCAGCUCAAGCAGCACAACGAGCGGCAGUUCUUCCUCGAGCUGGUCAAGGACAUCUCCAACGAGCUCGACCUCCGCGCCCUCAGCUACAAGAUCCUCAUCUUCGUCUGCCUCAUGGUCGACGCCGACCGCGGCUCCCUCUUCCUCGUCGAGGCCGGCGCCGCGGGCAAGAAGAGCCUCGUCUCCAAGGUCUUCGACGUGCACGCCGGGACCCCGCUGCUCCCUUGCUGCUGCUGCGGGGGCGCCGCCGAGGACGCCAACGAGGCCCAGGUGCCCUGGGGAAAGGGCAUCAUCGGCUACGUGGCCGAGCACGGGCAGACCGUCAACCUCCCCGACGCCUACCAGGAUCGCCGCUUUAAUGAUGAGAUCGACAAGUUAACAGGAUACAAGACUAAGUCCUUGCUUUGCAUGCCCAUAAGAAGCAGUGAUGGUGAGAUUAUUGGAGUUGCACAGGCAAUCAAUAAAACUCCUGGAGGUGCUCCUUUCACUGACGAUGAUGAAAAAGUAAUGGAAAUGUAUCUUCCAUUCUGUGGUAUUGCCAUCUCUAAUGCUCAGCUGUUUGCUGCUUCCAGAAAGGAAUACGAUAGAAGCAGGGCCUUGCUGGAGGUGGUUAAUGAUCUCUUUGAAGAACAGACAGACUUAGAGAAAAUUGUGAAGAAAAUUAUGCAUCGAGCCCAGACGCUAUUAAAGUGUGAGCGCUGCUCAGUAUUGCUUCUCGAAGACAUUGAAUCACCAGUGGUGAAAUUUACCAAAUCCUUUGAGCUGAUGUCUCCAAAAUGCAGUGCAGAUACAGAGAAUAGUUUCAAAGACAGUUUGGAGAAAACAUCUUCAUCGUAUUCAGACUGGCUAGUAAAUAAUAGCAUUGCUGAACUUGUAGCCUCCACGGGCCUCCCAGUGAACAUCAGUGAUGCAUAUCAGGAUCCUCGUUUUGAUGCAGAAGCUGAUCAAAUUUCUGGUUUUCAUAUAAGAUCUGUUCUUUGUGUCCCUAUAUGGAAUAGCAGUCACCAGAUUAUUGGUGUAGCUCAAGUACUGAACAGGCUGGAUGGGAAACCUUUUGAUGAUGCUGAUCAGCGACUUUUUGAGGCUUUUGUUAUAUUUUGUGGCUUGGGCAUCAACAAUACUAUAAUGUAUGACCAAGUGAAGAAAUCCUGGGCAAAGCAAUCUGUUGCUCUUGAUGCAGCGAACCUUCCACUUGUGACAGAGCUUGGCAUAGAUGACAUCCAUUUUGAUGACUUCUCCCUCGACAUGGACGCAAUGAUAACUGCAGCCCUCCGGAUGUUCAUGGAGCUUGGAAUGGUUCAGAAAUUUAAAAUUGACUAUGAGACGCUGUGUAGGUGGCUUUUGACAGUGAGGAAGAAUUAUCGAAUGGUACUCUAUCACAACUGGAGGCAUGCUUUCAAUGUUUGCCAGCUAAUGUUUGCCAUGUUAACUACUGCAGGAUUUCAGGAGAUUCUGACAGAAAUCGAAAUUUUAGCCUUGAUUGUGGGAUGUUUAUGUCAUGACCUUGAUCACAGGGGGACCAACAAUGCCUUUCAAGCCAAGAUCGGAUCUGCUUUGGCUCAGCUCUACGGGACUUCUGCUACUCUGGAGCACCAUCAUUUUAAUCAUGCAGUCAUGAUUAUUCAGAGUGAGGGUCACAACAUCUUUGCUAACUUGUCCUCCAAGGAUUACAGUGACCUUAUGCAGCUCCUGAAGAAGUCAAUAUUGGCAACAGACCUCACUCUCUAUUUUGAGAAGAGGGCUGAGUUUUUUGAACUUGUCAACAAAGGUGACUACAACUGGAACAUUAAAUCUCAGCGAGAGAUAUUCCGAUCAAUGCUAAUGACAGCCUGCGACCUUGGAGCUGCAACCAAACCGUGGGAGAUUUCAAGACAGGCAAGUCAUGAUUAAUGGCAGGGCAAGAAAGAGGAGGUACUGAUGCAGCCGUUUUCCCAGGAACCUGACAUGGAAGGGCCAGAUCUGCAAUCGAUUUACAACAGGAUUGCUGCUUUUAAAAACAGCACCGAUUUUCUGCUCAGUGUAGUUUAUUAGCCAGGAGGUUUGUUGCUCUUGUUUCUGGGAUGGCCCUAAGUAAUAUUAGAGCAUCUGACUCUGUAAGCACAGUGCCAUGGUCGAGUCUUCAAAAAUAAGACUUCAAAAGAGAACUGGAACGUCUAAUUAUUUUGUGACGGUCCCUAAUGAUUCCUCUAAUCACAAAAUGUUGAAGACAAGUGCUUUGUUUCAUUGGAUAUUUCUCAAAUCAAUGCAUCAUCACUGUUGUUUAAGACAAUUUCUGGGAACAGUCAAAACCUUCCUAACAGCAAAAAAAAAGUUAUUUUUAAAGUCACAGAAAGAAGAUGUGAGAUGGUAAAAUGGAUGCACAAUUAUUUCAUCCAAUAUCAGAUCAGUAUGUAAAACUAUUAUAUACACACAUGCUCACCCAUACACACUGUGACUAGGAAGGUCUUUGGAGAUAGAGAUUGCUGGACCUAUAGGCCUACCCCAUCCCUCAGGCCCCUUCUACACUGCCAUAUAAUCAAGUUAAUCAAAGCAGAUAAACCACAUCAUCUGCUUUGAAGGGGGUUCUACACUGUUAUAUAUACCAGUUUAAAGCACAAAAUCUGGAUUUUAUAUGGCAGUGUAGAAGGGACCUGAGAGGCAGGAAAACAAUGCUACUCCUUUUGGCCAGAUGUACCCUUCUUCACACAGUGCAUAGUUAAACAAUGGAAUUUGUUACCACAAGUUAUAUCCCACCAGUGUAUCCUGUAUAAACAAAUUCCAGAGUUUAGCUGUACACCAUGUGAAGAAUUACUUUGUUCCUUUCUGUCCACUUUUAUUUGCCAUCAGGAUAUUACUCUAUUUGCAAAAUAGCACUACUCUAUGCUUUCACUGAAAGUGUAUAAAAAUAGCCUGAAGUCAAUUAUGAUUAACUUUGAAGGAUAUUUCCUUUUUCCAGAAGUUAUUCACACAUAUCUUUACCUUUAUUUCAUUUAGAUUUAUUAUUAAACCCACCUUGAAGGCCAAUUAAAUCAAUAAAAAUGAUAAAACAUCACAAAACGUUGAAACUAUUUUAAUUGCCACUCAAAACUAGAUGUUCAUGAGCAACUGAGAUAUAUAAUGAUAUGAGGAUUUGUGUUGACAGACCUGGAUAGGGAUAUACAUACUUCCAUAUUACUGGUUUACUGAACCCUUCGUGGAGGUGCCGAGAAUAGAAUCUGGACUUUUUGGGGUCAAAUUAUGUAACCUAUCACUUUUACUCAAAACCUAUCUGUGUUGUAACCCCAUAUGCACAACAUGGCGGAUCGCAUGGACUAACUUCCACCUGGCAGUAGUAGCAUACAAAGGCUUCACAAUGCUGGGAUUUACUCGCAGUGAAGAAAGCUUUGGCAGCAAUCUAUAUUUCCCUUCUCCCUCCUGAGGUCAAUGGCACUUUGCAAAUUGUUUUCACAAAGCUAGAUUUAUUUGCCCAGAUGGAGCUAGAUAUAAUAGUUCCUUUCCCUCUUUCACAUUUCACUGAACAAGUCAGGGCCCUUGGACAUCAUGGUUUUUCCAUUCUCAUCUCAAUUCCCAUGAAGGGAUCCCCAUGAGAUUACACUGUGUGCAUAGUGCUGACAUAAAUUUAUGAAGUGAAUUCAAGCAUACAUAGAAAUUCACUUCCUGUAAUCAAUAGCAUGCAUACUUGUCUCCAAUCACACAAAAAAUGUAAAGAGGGUAUUGGCAGGCCAGUAUACCCUCAAGGCACCAGAUCCCAUCAAAUCUUGAAAGCUAAACAGGGUUAGCUCUGGUUAGUGCUUGGGUGGGAGACCCACAACAAAACCCAGGUGCUCUAAUAUCAGGCAGUUCUUGGGUUGAACCUAAUCCUAACUGCACUAUUGUGUUAGCUUUCUUCAAAAUCUAUGCAUUUAGUUGUAAUAAUACCACUACUGUUUGGGAGCAUUUGUAUUAGCUCAUGAUGAGUAGGCUUUUGGACUGUUCUGACAUUUUGCCAUUGAGUCAUCAAGUACUGUUAAGUAAUGAUAAGCUUAAUCUCCAUUCUUAAUUUGGCAGUUGCAUUAAAAAUAUGUUAUUUUUCUCAAGUAGAAUAAAGCCGAAUACAUUUUUUAUUCCUGUUUUAGGUAGCUGAACUGGUAACCAGUGAGUUCUUUGAACAAGGAGACAGAGAAAGAUCUGAGCUCAAACUUACACCUUCUGCUAUUUUUGAUCGGAACAGGAAAGAUGAACUGCCUCGAUUGCAGCUGGAAUGGAUUGAUAGCAUCUGCAUGCCUCUCUAUCAGGUUUUGGUAAAAGUAAAUGGAAAACUGAAGCCCAUGCUGGAUUCAGUGGUGGUCAAUAGAAGGAACUGGGAGGAACUGCACCAACAGAGAUUGCUUUCCAAGGCAGCAGCGACAGAACCAACAAAAUCCUCCUCCUCAUCAUCCUCUUCCUCCCAAUCUGCUAAGUGUCCAAAGGACAUAAAUUAAGUCAGCAUCUGUUUCAUGCUGCUAGCACAAGACCCUUCAGAAAAGCUGGCAAAAGCUUAGUCUCAUACAUUUCACCAAACAAAAACAAAUCUUUUAUCAUAAACAUUCUUAACAGGAUGGUCUGGCUUUUUCACUAGAAGUUUCCUUGGUUUUUGAGAUUCUGCAGUAAGACUUCGUAGUUUCUGCAGUAAUGUGAAAAGCUUGGUGAAGUCUGUGUUUGAUUGGCUUUUUUCAACUGCUGCUAUGGACACUCACACACUCAGUCACAAAGGACUGACAUAACUGGAAUUUACAGCUAUUGAAAUUAACUGUGAAAACAUGAUUGAAAUCCCGCCCCCAUCAAGGCAUCUAUAAGGGGAUCUGGAGGGCAAAACAGAGAAUAUAGUGUAAUAAUGGCCUGGGUUUGCAUCUCUCUAGUAUUUGCUAAUAUGAACCCGUUAUACCUGCUUUUGUGAUGUUUAUCCUUUCAGUCCUUUUUCUUUUAUGCUGUAAUGUUCAAGGAAGCCUUCUUUGCAUUUUACUGACAAUUUUUUAAAAACAACAAAGUUUCUUUAUUGAUCAAGGUUUUUAGAAUUGCCUAUCUUUGCUAAAAGUAAGUGGGGGGGAUUUAACUUUAUUACGUUUAAAACUAUCAACCUGCUCUAGCUUCCUUACGAGUUUCAUAUUAGCAAUGCAGCUUGGAUUGCUCUGCAGGCAGAAGCUUAUGUAAAGGUAAAAUUUCUGCAUGAUAAUUUGGGUUCUUUUAGGAUUUGUUUUAAAGCAUUUUGAAAGCUGCUUUGCACACCUAAGAAGAGAACCAAUGGUAUAUCAUGAAAAUUACAUAAUAAAAAUGAAAUAUGUUGCCUUCUGGUAGAGAAUUUGCACUAUAGGAUAUGAACAUGGCUUUCUAGUACAUUUUCUUAAACACAUAACUUUGACUAUUACUGUUAAGGAUUGGGGUGGCACUGGAAUAUGUCACAAAAAGAGCAAUGACUACCUCUGCUUUUUCUGACCAGUUAACUUACUUUCUUUUUUUUAUAACAACAUGUUAGUCUAAUAUGUUGUGUCUAACAGAAAUCUAGUCAAAAUUUGCAUGUGCUGGGAAAUGGUGAAAAUGUUUGCAUGCAAAAUGUGAAUUGCAUUUGAUAGACACCAAAGUGAGAUCUAUUCAUCUAUGUUGGAAAUUAACUCACUUCUCCUUAGCAUGACACUACUUUCCCCAGUUUUCCCCCCAUGUUGAUGUGAGAAGCUGCUGGACUUUUGCUCUGUAAUCAGAUUUGGCACGAAAUGGUUUCAUUGACUGUAACUAACAUAGGCUGGAUCUAUAUUGCUAAAUAAUGCCGUUUGAACUACAAUGGACUGCAUUAUAUUGGUUUAUAGUGACCAUAUUAAACAGUUCAAACUGUAUUAUUUCACAUUGUAGAUCCAGUCUUGAAAAAAUAUGAGCACCUGAUCCAACAAUUCUUUGAUUCCCCAUGGUAUCAGGGAUUCUGUUAUGCUUCCUGGGAGCAAGGCUGGAUGGAGACCUGACCAAGACAUUAGCUGGGCAGUUAGGAUGGAGGAAACGGAAUGAAAUGCACUCACGGCCCUUCCAGACAGGAUCUGAUCCCAGGUUUUCUGUUUAUCCCAGAUUAUCUGGCAGUGCGAAGGGCCCUCAGUGGGAAAUCCAAGCGCCAGCUGAAUGGCCCUCAUUCCUUCUCCACCCACUUUCUAAGAAAGCUGAGAAUUGCAGCCCUCUCAGCUGAUGUUUCAAGAAGAGCAAGAAUGCAUCUCAUCUUUACCUUGGGAAACUCAAGGAAGGAGGAAAUGGACACCUAAAGCUUUGAAACCAUAACUCAGUUCCCACCUGUCUACUUGUUCUUUAUAAAGGAGUAGGUCUUCAGUAAGAAGGCCUACUCCUUUGAGUAGACAGCUCCAUGAGCUGGAUGGCCAAAUUUCAUUCAUAGGGAAAAGGUUCCCCAUGCCUGGUUUAAUGUGUGUGUGGACACACACACAGUACAAAGAUGUCCACAGGAGGAAAAAAAGAGCUAUUCCCUCUUUUGCAACUUAAUUUGUUGAGACUAUGGAUGUCAAUCUAGUCUUGUGUAGGGGUGUAUUCACACAGUAGAAAUAAUGGAGUUUGACAGUACAUUAGUCUUGGUUGAAUGCAGCAGAAUCAUAGGACUUUCAGUUUUACAGUCUUUAUCACAACUACACAAUGAGAUAAAGACUCAUGAUUCCCUAGCAGUCGCACACACAGUUAAAAUAGUGUUUGACUAACCUAAUUCUUUGGUGUAAAUUGAAUUUAGAAGUAAACAGAACUGCAGAGCUAGGUUCCAACAUAGCAGAGAACAGAAUGAGUACGUUAUGCCUUCUUGAUAUUUCUUUGGAGUAAUGCAUAUUUUUGUGCUAUGUUCCGGUUCUCUGUGAGGCCCUUUCUACAUGGCGAAUGAAGGGACCAAGCUGUGGUAACAAAGUCCCUAGCUGAAUACUUCUUGAAACGAGUGAAUGGCAUCCAUUCAGUUAUAUGGGAAAGAUAGGGAGUUUCAGGGAGCACCAGAGAGGCAAGGAAGUUAACUUUCCUCCUUUACCCAUCCAGUCUGGCAUGCAGAGAAUCAAAGUCAUUUUCAUAAGGUAAAGGUUUCCCCUGACGUUAAGUCCAGUCAUGUCUGACUCUGGGGGUUGGUGCUCAUCUCCAUUUCUAAGCUGGAGAGCCGGCGUUGUCCGUAGACACCUCCAAGGUCAUGUGGCUGGCAUGACUUCAUGGAGCGCCGUUACCUUUUCAUUUUCAUGGCUCCCCCUUUUCAUUUGCAUAGCUGCACCAGGUCAGGUAUACUGUAUAUGAGAUGGAAUAUUUAGAAAGUACUUUAACAUGGAACAUGGGAAUAAAUAAUGUUAACCAUUAUUAGAGUGCAUUUGAUCCCUGGAAGCUGUUGCAUUGAUUGGGUCUCAUAAGGAGACGAGAGAGAUUUGAGUGUGGAAAAACGUUGAAAGAGUAGCUUUUUCUCUGUCUUUUUGCCAUCAACUUCUGUGCUGAAAUGUAGCAUACAAUGUGAAAGAUACAAAACUAGAAAGGAGCACUGUGUCACAUUCUGAUUUUCACGAUCUACUAUUCUGGCAUAGAGAUUGUGGGAGUUAUGACCCAAGAUAUAACCUUUCCAGGGUUUUGGAAAUACUUGAAAGAGCCACUGGUGUUCAGAUUAGACAGUACUUAGACAAGUAUUUUGUUGUCCUUUGUGUUGCUCUAAGGCUGGAUCUACACUGCCAUAUAAUACAGUUCAAGGCAGAUAAUUUGGAUUUUAUAUGGCAGUGUAGAAGGGACCUGAUUUACAGUUUCCAUCUGAAGCCAGAGUGCAUCUACACCAAAACACCUGCCCAUGGUAAAGGUAAAGGUUUUUCCCUGACAUUAAGUCUACUCGUUUCUGACUCUGGAGGUUGAUGCUCAUCUCCAUUUCUAAGCCAAAGAGCUGGUGUUGUCCGUAGACACCUCCAAGGUCGUGGCUGGCAUGACUGCAUGGAGCACUGUUACUUUCCUGCCAAGGUGGUACCUAUUGAUCUACUCAUAUUUGCGUGUUUUUGAAUUGCUAGGAUGUCAAAAGCUGAGGCUAACAGCGGGAGCUCACCCUACUCCCCAGAUUCAAUCCGCCAUUCUUUUGAUCAUAUUACACUUCUGGGAGCUGUAGUUUGGCAGAGAAGAGUAAAGGCCUAAAUAUACUACAUUGAUUCUGCAAUGUAGAUGUACCAUGAGUGUAAAGCCCCUCCUACACCGCCAUAUAAAAUCCAGAUUAUCUAAUUUAAACUGGAUUCUGUGGUAGUGUAGACUCAUAUAAUCCAGUAAAAGCAGAUAAUGUGGAUUGCUAUCUUUGAUAAUUUGGAUUAUAUGGCAGUGUAGAAGGGACCUAAAUUGGCCUCAGUUUUUGGUCCAAAUCAUUCAUUCACACAUACACACCAUCGACAAGCUGAUUCUUUGUACUAUCUCUAGCGUACUGAAGAGCUUUGGAGAACUCCAAACAGAAUUUAUCUUCCAUUUUAGUUGGCAUUGACUGCCUGGAUUUUCGAGCUCAAUUAUUUUGUAUUUCACCAGAGUAGUAGAACAGAUAGGAAAAAGGGGGAAUCCAUAGGACUACUGGGAUGAAUACAUGCACUGUUUGGCUUUUGUUUCCAUUCCUCCGCCAUUACUUCCACGCUCCCUUUCCCCCUCAUAAUGAAUCCAUGUGGCUUAUUUAUAUAAUAUGUGCUUUAUGGGGGCAAAUAGACACUGUGAUUGACUUGGUCCUGCUGGCUGGCCCAUAAAGCUUUCCUGAGUUUUGAUAUGAGGACCUAUUGCUAAGUGUGACAUAAUUUAUAGCACAUAACCUACAGCUUCCUCCCAAGGUUGAGCCCCCCCCCCCAUUCCCUCUCUUUUUUAUGGGUCUCAGCACAUGGUUGCCCCUGGCAACGGCAGUGCGGGGAAAGCAGCGCUCACUGCAAGGCUGACAGGCCUCGGAGGCCCUGGCAAUGUCAACCAUCCAUCACACGACUAUUUGUAAUUGCCUCCAUCUAUUUCUCAUGUCUCCCGGUAUCUAGUCUUACUGCAGAUCCAAAAUGCAGGAACUGCUGACUAAUCUUGUGGGUUCCUUUCCCCAAAGAUUGCACACAAACAGGGAGGCAACUCCUACUUCUUGUCUAGGUCUGACUUUCUCUGUGGACUUGGUGUAGAUGCAUACACCCCAGGCAUGGGCAAACUUGACCCAUCCGGGUGUUUUGAACUUCUGGUAGGCUGUUAGGAACUGUGAGAGUUGAAGUCCAAAACACCCAGAGGACCCAAGUUUGCCCAUGCCUGAUCUAAACUGUGUAGAGUAAUGCAAUUUGACACCACUUUAACUUCCAUGACUCAAUGUACUCACUUCUGGGAGCUGUAGUUCGGCAGAGAAGAGUAAAGGCCUUGUUAAGUUACAACUCCCAUGAUUCCUUAGCAUCGAACCAUGGAAGUUCAAGCUGUGUGCACUAUAAAAUGCAUAUUCUGUGGCAUUUGCAUUGGUGUAACUCUUUGUGUUUCUUCACCCCUGCCCUUUUCAAACUGGUGGCUCUACUGGCUUGCCUUAGCUCACCCAGCAAUCCCAACUCGACUUUUUUAACGGCAUGAUUUUGCAAUGGGUAACUUGGGUUUGUUUAUCACAGUAAAUAAAUGAAUAAAUCAUGAAAUCAA